AUGUUGACUGGUACUUUCUCCUAUGCAUUCCUUGAACAACACUUGCUUUCGUUGGGAUAUCCUGUGAGUGAGCACAUCAUUUACUUCAGCAAACCAAAUAAACCAAUCUCAGAUGGUUUUAUCAAAAUUAGCAGUGAUGAGGAUGUGCAGCAUAUGAUCAGAGCUAGUGCUGAGCAUAAGAUGCUUGUAGUCAUGGUUGACCAUAUAGAUUUCAUCAGUAACUUCAAGUCUGACUUGGUGUGCACAUUGCCCCUAUCUUUGAUAACAACAACAACAACAACAACAACAACAACAACAACAACAACAACAAGUUCUGCAGCAGCAAGUGCAUCCUCUUCCCAUAGCCUAGUUCCAGUCUUUGUGGAAGAUCCCUUGUCAGAGAUUGCAGCAAAUGGAACAGACCCACAAAGUUUGCUUAUUGAAUGUGCUGAGCACAACAUGCUAACUGAAGAUGGACAAACAGUUAUUGAAAAUGUAGUUGUUUCAGAUUCUGAUUUCAGUGACAGUGACUAUGACAUAGAUGAUGGUGAUGAUGAUCUUUAUGAUGACAACAUUGACUUUGAUGUUGAUGAAGAAGCUGGUCAGGAUGAGGAUGAUGUGGAGCCUGACUAUUUGCUCGAGGAUGAAGAUCUGAACCUAUCAACUGAGCAAGCAGAUGAACUUAGGUACAAGUUUAAAGCUUUUAAUGCAAAGGUGGACAUGAUUUCCCCUGUGUUUAAAGUAGGGAUGGUAUUUGCUGAUGUGGUUGAGCUAAGACAUGCACUGACUUCAUAUUCAGUUAGAAACAGAGUGCAGAUCAAGAAGAUAAAGAAUGACAAGAGGAGACUUGAGGCAGUUUGUGAAAAUGGUUGCCCAUGGUACCUGUUUGCUGGCAAUGACAAUAGGACAGGGGGAUUUGUCAUCAAGACUUACUAUGGAGAACAUAUAUGCCAGAAGAAAUGGAAGAUAAGGUCACUGUCAGCAAAAUUCAUGUGCAAGUAUUUCAUAGAUGAGUUCAGAGAUGACCAGAAGAUGUCACUAGGUACAUUUCAAGAAAGAUCACCAAGGAAUUUCAUGUCACCGCUAACAGAUGGAAGCUAG
This 1080-nucleotide ribosomal RNA is filed under the name Triticum aestivum (bread wheat). Its description in RNAcentral is "partial small subunit ribosomal RNA". The record is from RNAcentral. Lineage: Eukaryota; Viridiplantae; Streptophyta; Magnoliopsida; Poales; Poaceae.